This 64-nucleotide transfer RNA is filed under the name Tetratoma fungorum. Its description in RNAcentral is "tRNA-Thr". The record is from RNAcentral. Lineage: Eukaryota; Metazoa; Arthropoda; Insecta; Coleoptera; Tetratomidae.
GUUUUAAUAAUUUAAAAAUAAAAUAUUGGUCUUGUAAACCAAAACUAAGGAAACUUUUAAAACA